Balaenoptera acutorostrata (minke whale) is the source of this 753-nucleotide long non-coding RNA. RefSeq lists it as uncharacterized. Lineage: Eukaryota; Metazoa; Chordata; Mammalia; Artiodactyla; Balaenopteridae. The record is from RefSeq and is a predicted model, not a curated record. The transcript has 3 exons.
UAGACUAUAUACUCCAGGUUUCCUUGCAGCUAAGUGUGACCUUGGGAACGAAUUCUUGCCUACAGAAUGUGGGUAGAAUUGACACAGAUCUGUUCAGUUCAGGACAGGCCUAAUCACACCUCCUCUCUUCCCCUCUCUCCCUUUCCCAGUUGGCUGGAUGGAAGCAAAGGACUCUGAACUGCGGAACUGAAGGAGCUGCAAGGUGGAAGGCGGCUGGGUCCCUGCCUCACAUCUUGAGAGACUAUCUGCUAAAUACCUUCAUUUAUCAGCCAGAGGAAAAAACUUCAAACCUCAAAAGCUACUAAGAUGUUGGGGAUUUAGCAGAUGCUCUGCACCCUCCCUGUUCCCUGGAGAAGAGAGGUUGGAAGGAUGAAAAUAUCUGGAGGCCAGAAAAGCAGUUGGAGUUAAGUCCAGGUGAAAGACGACAGAGGCUAUACGACAACGACGGCAGUGGCAAAGGAGAGAAGCGGAGGGUCCACGAGCUGCUUCUCUGGAACUGAAGGGGCUUACAUAAUAUACCUAAGGCUCGUGAAAGUCACAGUGUGGUCCAGCACCCAAGCUCUCACACUCUUCUUGCUGUGGCCGACCUGGCAGAAGGGAGUCUGCACCCCGCAUCUUGACAGAGUCUGCCCAGCAGCACCAACCUCUCCCCAACGUGGGAAGGGAGAUUAAGAGACAUCACCUCAACUUGAACCCAACCUAUAGUUUCCACUGGAUUCUUCUUAGACAUCCCUAUUGGUCAUUGAGCGUUUG